Molecule: transfer RNA, 74 nt
Filed under: Sulfobacillus acidophilus DSM 10332
Lineage: Bacteria; Bacillati; Bacillota; Clostridia; Eubacteriales; Clostridiales Family XVII. Incertae Sedis
Rfam family: tRNA
About the family: Transfer RNA (tRNA) molecules are approximately 80 nucleotides in length.
Source: Rfam by way of RNAcentral
CGGGGCGUGGCGCAGCUUGGUAGCGCACUUGCUUUGGGAGCAAGGGGUCGGGGGUUCGAAUCCCUCCGCCCCGA